CCUACGGGCGGCAGCAGUGGGGAAUAUUGGACAAUGGGGGCAACCCUGAUCCAGCCAUGCCGCGUGUGUGAAGAAGGCCCUCGGGUUGUAAAGCACUUUCAGUGAGGAAGAACGCCUGGUGGUUAAUACCCAUCAGGAAAGACAUCACUCACAGAAGAAGCACCGGCUAACUCCGUGCCAGCAGCCGCGGUAAUACGGAGGGUGCGAGCGUUAAUCGGAAUUACUGGGCGUAAAGCGCGCGUAGGUGGCUUGAUAAGCCGGUUGUGAAAGCCCCGGGCUCAACCUGGGAACGGCAUCCGGAACUGUCAAGCUAGAGUGCAGGAGAGGAAGGUAGAAUUCCCGGUGUAGCGGUGAAAUGCGUAGAGAUUGGGAGGAAUACCAGUGGCGAAGGCGGCCUUCUGGACUGACACUGACACUGAGGUGCGAAAGCGUGGGUAGCAAACAGGAUUAGAUACCCUUGUAGUC
RNAcentral lists this ribosomal RNA (465 nucleotides) under Vreelandella stevensii. RNAcentral describes it as "partial 16S ribosomal RNA". It matches the Rfam family "Bacterial small subunit ribosomal RNA", at positions 338 to 795 of the family's 1533-position model. Lineage: Bacteria; Pseudomonadati; Pseudomonadota; Gammaproteobacteria; Oceanospirillales; Halomonadaceae. The record is from RNAcentral.